RNAcentral lists this ribosomal RNA (3131 nucleotides) under Saccharomyces paradoxus. Its description in RNAcentral is "21S ribosomal RNA". It matches the Rfam family "Bacterial large subunit ribosomal RNA". Lineage: Eukaryota; Fungi; Ascomycota; Saccharomycetes; Saccharomycetales; Saccharomycetaceae. The record is from RNAcentral.
GUAAAAAGUAGAAUAAUAGAUUUGAAAUAUUUAUUAUAUAGAUUUAAAGAGAUAAUCAUGGAGUAUAAAUUAUUAAAUAAGAUAAGAUUUAAUAAUAACUAUUAAUAGGAUUAGGUUACUAAUAAAUUAAUAAUAAUUAAUUUAAAAACCUAAAGGUAAACCUUUAUAUUAAUAAUAUAUAUAUUUAUAUUAUUAAUAAUAAUAAGAACUAAGUGAACUGAAACAUCUAAGUAACUUAAGGAAUAUAAAUCAACAGAGAUAUUAUGAGUAUUGGUGAGAGAAAAUAAUAAAGGUCUAAUAAGUAUUAUGUAAGAAGUAUGUAAGAAAAUAGGAUAACAAAUUCUAAGACUAAAUACUAUUAAUAAGUAUAAUAAGUACCGUAAGGGAAAGUAUGAAAAUGAUUAUUUUAUAAGCAAUCAUGGAUAUAAUUUUAAUAUUAAUGAUGUACCUUUUGUAUAAUGGGUCAGCAAGUAAUUAAUAUUAGUAAAACAAUAAAGUUAUAAAUAAAUAGAAAAAGUAUAUAUAUAAAAAAAUAUAUUAAAAUAUUUAAUUAAUAUUAAUUGACCCGAAAGCAAACGAUCUAACUAUGAUAAGAUGGGUAAACGAUCGAACAGGUUGAUGUUGCAAUAUCAUCUGAUUAAUUGUGGUUAGUAGUGAAAGACAAAUCUGGUUUGCAGAUAGCUGGUUUUCUAUGAAAUAUAUGUAAGUAUAGCCUUUAUAAAUAAUAAUUAUUAUAUAAUAUUAAAAUAAUAUUAUAUAAAGAAUGGUACAGCAAUUAAUAUAUAUUAGGGAACUAUAAAAGUUUUAUUAAUAAUAUUAAAUCUCGAAAUGUUUAAUUAUAUAUAAUAAAGAGUCAGAUUAUGUGCGAUAAGGUAAAUAAUCAAAAGGGAAACAGCCCAGAUUAAGAUAUAAAGUUCCUAAUAAAUAAUAAGUGAAAAAAAUAUUAAAAUAUUAUAAUAUAAUCAGUUAAUGGGUUUGACAAUAACCAUUUUUUAAUGAACAUGUAACAAUGCACUGAUUUAUAAAAAUAAAAUAAUAUUUAAAAUCAAAUAUAUAUAUAUAUUUUUGUUAAUAGAUAAUAUACGGAUCUUAAUAAUAAUAAGAAUUAUUUAAUUCCAAAAAUGGAAUAUCAUAUUAAAUUAAUAAAAAAUAUGAAUACUGAAUAUCUAAAUAUUAUUAUUAAUAAUAAAUAAUAAUAAUAAUAUGGUAAUAGAACAUUUAAUGAUAAUAUAUAUUAGUUAUUAAUUAAUAUAUUAAUUAAUUAAAUAGAGAAUGCUGACAUGAGUAACGAAAAAAAGGUAUAAACCUUUUCACCUAAAACAUAAGGUUUAACUAUAAAAGUACGGCCCCUAAUUAAAUAAAUAAGAAUAUAAAUAUAUUUAAGAUGGGAUAAUCUAUAUUAAUAAAAAUAAUCUUAAAAUAUAUAUAUUAUUAUUAUUAAUUUAUUAAUUAAUUAAUUAAUAAUAUAUAUAAUUAUAUUUAUAUAUUAUAUAUAUAUAUAAUAUAAACUAAUAAAGAUCAAGAAAAGUAUUAAUGUAUACCGUAAUGUAGACCGACUCAGGUAUGUAAGUAGAGAAUAUGAAGGUGUAUUAGAGAAUUAAAGGGAAGGAACUCGGCAAAGAUAGCUCAUAAGUUAGUCAAUAAAGAGUAAUAAGAACAAAGUUGUACAACUGUUUACUAAAAACACCGCACUUUGCAGAAACGAUAAGUUUAAGUAUAAGGUGUGAACUCUGCUCCAUGCUUAAUAUAUAAAUUAAAUUAUUUAACGAUAAUUUAAUUAAAUUUAGGUAAAUAGCAGCCUUAUUAUGAGGGUUAUAAUGUAGCGAAAUUCCUUGGCCUAUAAUUGAGGUCCCGCAUGAAUGACGUAAUGAUACAACAACUGUCUCCCCUUUAAACUAAGUGAAAUUGAAAUCGUAGUGAAGAUGCUAUGUACCUUCAGCAAGACGGAAAGACCCUAUGCAGCUUUACUGUAAUUAGAUAGAUCGAAUUAUUGUUUAUUAUAUUCAGCAUAUUAAGUAAUCCUAUAAUUUUAGGUAAUCGUUUAGAUAUUAAUGAGAUACUUAUUAUAAUAUAAUGAUAAUUCUAAUCUUAUAAAUAAUAAUUAAUUAAUUAAUUAAUUAAUUAUUAAUACUUAAUAGAUAUAAUUUCUUAAGUAAUAUAUAAUAUAUUAUAUUAUUAUAUGUAUUAUAUAUAUAUAUAUAAGAGACAAUCUCUAAUUGGUAGUUUUGAUGGGGCGUCAUUAUCAGCAAAAGUAUCUGAAUAAGUCCAUAAAUAAAUAUAUAAAAUUAUUGAAUAAGAAUAAUAUAUAUUAUAUAUAUUAAUUAUAAAUUGAAAUAUAUUUAUAUUUUUAAUGAAUAUAUUUUAGUAAUAGAUAAAAAUAUGUACAGUAAAAUUGUAAGGAAAACAAUAAUAACUUUCUAUUUAUUAAUUUAUAAAAAAAGUAUAGAAAGAAUUAGAUUAAUAUAAUGGUAUAACUGUGCGAUAAUUGUAACACAAACGAGUGAAACAAGUACGUAAGUAUGGCAUAAUGAACAAAUAACACUGAUUGUAAAGGUUAUUGAUAACGAAUAAAAGUUACGCUAGGGAUAACAGGGUAAUAUAACGAAAGAGUAGAUAUUGUAAGUUAUGUUUGCCACCUCGAUGUCGACUCAACAUUUCCUCUUGGUUGUAAAAGCUAAGAAGGGUUUGACUGUUCGUCAAUUAAAAUGUUACGUGAGUUGGGUUAAAUACGAUGUGAAUCAGUAUGGUUCCUAUCUGCUGAAGGAAAUAUUAUCAAUUUAAAUCUCAUUAUUAGUACGCAAGGACCAUAAUGAAUCAACCCAUGGUGUAUCUAUUGAUAAUUUAAUAAUAUAUUUAUAAUAAAAAUUUUAUAAUAAAUAUAUUAUCUAUAUUAGUUUAUAUUUUUAUAUAAUUAUCAUAGUAGAUAAGCUAAGUUGAUAAUAAAUAAAUAUUGAAUACAUAUUAAAUAUGAAGUUGUUUUAAUAAGAUAAUUAAUCUGAUAAUUUUAUACUAAAAUUUAAUAAUUAUAGGUUUUAUAUAUUCUUUAUAUAUUAAUAAUAUUUUUUAUAAUAUUAAUAAAAUACUAAUUUAUCAGUUAUCUAUAUAAUAUCUAAUCUAUUAUUCUAUAUACU